Cheilinus undulatus (humphead wrasse) is the source of this 138-nucleotide small nucleolar RNA. RefSeq annotates it as small nucleolar RNA SNORA8. The transcript has a single exon. The record is from RefSeq and is a predicted model, not a curated record. NCBI's taxonomy places the organism in Eukaryota, Metazoa, Chordata, Actinopteri, Labriformes, Labridae.
AGCACUGUGUGGUAUCUGCAGCCUGCUGGUUCAUCAGCUGGUUUGUUCAAAAGUCAGUGCAAGAUGAAGUCAACAUCUGGCAUCGUUGGUCUGUGAGCUCAACGUGCUCUCAGUCCUGGUAUUUUUGUUGAAACAGUU